Molecule: ribosomal RNA, 464 nt
Filed under: uncultured bacterium
Lineage: Bacteria
Description: bacterial SSU rRNA
Rfam family: Bacterial small subunit ribosomal RNA
Source: RNAcentral
AACGAACGCUGGCGGCAGGCCUAACACAUGCAAGUCGAACGAGAACCUUCCUUCGGGAAGCAGAGAGUGGCGAACGGGUGAGUAACACGUGGGCAACCUACCCCUCACACUGGGAUAACCUCGGGAAACCGGGGCUAAUACCGGAUAUUCACGACCUCGGGCAUCCGAGGACGUGGAAAGGAUUCUGGUGAGGGAUGGGCCCGCGGCCUAUCAGUUUGUUGGUGGGGUAAUGGCCUACCAAGACGACGACGGGUAGCCGGCCUGAGAGGGCGACCGGCCACACUGGGACUGAGACACGGCCCAGACUCCUACGGGAGGCUGCAGUGGGGAAUAUUGCGCAAUGGACGAAAGUCUGACGCAGCAACGCCGCGUGAGGGAUGAAGUACAUCGAGAUGUAAACCUCUUUCAGUAGGGACGAAGCGAAAGUGACGGUACCUGCAAAAGAAGCGCCGGCUAACUACGUG